AGUUAAGUGACUAAGCGUACACGGUGGAUGCCUAGGCAAUCAGAGGCGAAGAAGGACGUGCUAAUCUGCGAAAAGCUUGGAUGAGUUGAUAAGAAGCGUUUAAUCCAAGAUAUCCGAAUGGGGAAACCCGAUGGAUGAAGAAUCCAUCAUUUCAUUAUGAAUCCAUAGUAAUGAAAGGCAAACCGGGAGAACUGAAACAUCUAAGUACCCCGAGGAAAAGAAAUCAAUCGAGAUUUUGUAAGUAGCGGCGAGCGAAAGCGAAAGAGCCAGUGAGUGAUAGCAGCAAAGACAGAAGAAUUGGCUGGGAAGCCAAGCGACACAGGGUGAUAGCCCCGUAUUCGAAGUUUUUGUUGUGGUACUAAGCUUGCAACAAGUAGGGCGGGACACGAGAAAUCCUGUUUGAAGAUGGGGGGACCAUCCUCCAAGGCUAAAUACUCCUGAUUGACCGAUAGUGAACCAGUACUGUGAAGGAAAGGCGAAAAGAACCCCAGUGAGGGGAGUGAAAUAGAACCUGAAACCGUGUACGUACAAGCAGUGGGAGCCCUUUGGGGUGACUGCGUACCUUUUGUAUAAUGGGUCAGCGACUUAUAUUUUGUAGCGAGGUUAACUGAAUAAGGGAGCCGAAGGGAAACCGAGUCUUAACUGGGCGGAUAGUUGCAAGGUAUAGACCCGAAACCCGGUGAUCUAGCCAUGGGCAGGUUGAAGGUUGGGUAACACUAACUGGAGGACCGAACCGACUAAUGUUGAAAAAUUAGCGGAUGACUUGUGGCUGGGGGUGAAAGGCCAAUCAAACCGGGAGAUAGCUGGUUCUCCCCGAAAUCUAUUUAGGUAGAGCCUUAUGUGAAUACCUUCGGGGGUAGAGCACUGUUUCGGCUAGGGGUCCAUCCCGGAUUACCAACCCGAUGCAAACUGCGAAUACCGAAGAGUAAUGCAUAGGAGACACACGGUGGGUGCUAACGUCCAUCGUGGAGAGGGAAACAACCCAGACCGCCAGCUAAGGUCCCAAAGUCUAUAUUAAGUGGGAAACGAAGUGGGAAGGCUUAGACAGCUAGGAUGUUGGCUUAGAAGCAGCCAUCAUUUAAAGAAAGCGUAAUAGCUCACUAGUCGAGUCGGCCUGCGCGGAAGAUGUAACGGGGCUAAAAUAUAGCACCGAAGCUGCGGCAUCAGACGUAUCACUAAUACGCCUUACGAUUAACAACAUCGAAUGAAGUGAAACGGAAAGAGAUGUUGGUCAAGCAACCCGAACGUUGAGUCGGAAAGUAAUCGAAGAGAGGAUUAUUAGUGAUACGUCUGUUGGGUAGGGGAGCGUUGUGUAAGCGGAUGAAGGUGAAUCGAGAGGUUUGCUGGACGUAUCACAAGUGCGAAUGCUGACAUAAGUAACGAUAAAACGAGUGAAAAACUCGUUCGCCGGAAGACCAAGGGUUCCUGUCCAACGUUAAUCGGGGCAGGGUGAGUCGGCCCCUAAGGCGAGGCUGAAAAGCGUAGUCGAUGGGAAACGGGUUAAUAUUCCCGUACUUGUUNNNNNNNNNNNNNNNNNNNNNNNNNNNNNNNNNNNNNNNNNNNNNNNNNNNNNNNNNNNNNNNNNNNNNNNNNNNNNNNNNNNNNNNNNNNNNNAAGAUAAACCGUACUGAAAACCGACACAGGUGGUCAGGUAGAGAAUACUCAGGCGCUUGAGAGAACUCGGGUGAAGGAACUAGGCAAAAUAGCACCGUAACUUCGGGAGAAGGUGCGCUGGCGUAGGUUGUAGGAGUAUACCUCCGAAGGCUGAACCAGUCGAAGAUACCAGCUGGCUGCAACUGUUUAUUAAAAACACAGCACUCUGCAAACACGAAAGUGGACGUAUAGGGUGUGAUGCCUGCCCGGUGCUGGAAGGUUAAUUGAUGGUGUUAUCGAAAGAGAAGCUCCUGAUCGAAGCCCCAGUAAACGGCGGCCGUAACUAUAACGGUCCUAAGGUAGCGAAAUUCCUUGUCGGGUAAGUUCCGACCUGCACGAAUGGCAUAAUGAUGGCCAGGCUGUCUCCACCCGAGACUCAGUGAAAUUGAAAUCGCCGUGAAGAUGCGGUGUACCCGCGGCUAGACGGAAAGACCCCGUGAACCUUUACUAUAGCUUGACACUGAACAUUGAAUUUUGAUGUGUAGGAUAGGUGGGAGCCUAAGAAGCAGUCACGCCAGUGAUUGUGGAGGCGUCCUUGAAAUACCACCCUUUAACGUUUGAUGUUCUAACGAAGAUUGCGAAACGCGGUCUCGGACAGUGUCUGGUGGGUAGUUUGACUGGGGCGGUCUCCUCCCAAAGAGUAACGGAGGAGCACGAAGGUUUGCUAAUCACGGUCGGACAUCGUGAGGUUAGUGCAAUGGUAUAAGCAAGCUUAACUGCGAGACAGACAAGUCGAGCAGGUGCGAAAGCAGGUCAUAGUGAUCCGGUGGUUCUGAAUGGAAGGGCCAUCGCUCAACGGAUAAAAGGUACUCCGGGGAUAACAGGCUGAUACCGCCCAAGAGUUCAUAUCGACGGCGGUGUUUGGCACCUCGAUGUCGGCUCAUCACAUCCUGGGGCUGAAGUAGGUCCCAAGGGUAUGGCUGUUCGCCAUUUAAAGUGGUACGCGAGCUGGGUUUAGAACGUCGUGAGACAGUUCGGUCCCUAUCUGCCGUGGGCGUUGGAGAAUUGAGAGGGGCUGCUCCUAGUACGAGAGGACCGGAGUGGACGCAUCACUGGUGUACCAGUUGUCUCGCCAGAGGCACUGCUGGGUAGCUAAAUGCGGAAGAGAUAAGUGCUGAAAGCAUCUAAGCACGAAACUC
Molecule: ribosomal RNA, 2792 nt
Filed under: Glaesserella parasuis
Lineage: Bacteria; Pseudomonadati; Pseudomonadota; Gammaproteobacteria; Pasteurellales; Pasteurellaceae
Description: partial 23S ribosomal RNA
Rfam family: Bacterial large subunit ribosomal RNA
Source: RNAcentral